AGGGACUCUUGUAUGUAAUUUAC
RNAcentral lists this non-coding RNA (23 nucleotides) under Cricetulus griseus (Chinese hamster). Lineage: Eukaryota; Metazoa; Chordata; Mammalia; Rodentia; Cricetidae. The record is from RNAcentral.